CCUGAUCCAGCCAUGCCGCGUGUGUGAAGAAGGCCUUCGGGUUGUAAAGCACUUUUGUCCGGAAAGAAAAGCUUCCGGUUAAUACCCGGGGGUCCUGACGGUACCGGAAGAAUAAGCACCGGCUAACUUCGUGCCAGCAGCCGCGGUAAUACGAAGGGUGCAAGCGUUACUCGGAAUUACUGGGCGUAAAGCGUGCGUAGGUGGUUUGUUAAGUCUGAUGUGAAAGCCCUGGGCUCAACCUGGGAAUUGCAUUGGAUACUGGCGGGCUAGAGUGCGGUAGAGGAUGGUGGAAUUCCCGGUGUAGCAGUGAAAUGCGUAGAGAUCGGGAGGAACAUCUGUGGCGAAGGCGACCACCUGGACCAGCACUGACACUGAGGCACGAAAGCGUGGGGAGCAAACAGGAUUAGAUACCCUGGUAGUCCACGCCCUAAACGAUGCGAACUGGAUGUUGGGAGCAAUUAGGCUCUCAGUAUCGAAGCUAACGCGUUAAGUUCGCCGCCUGGGGAGUACGGUCGCAAGACUGAAACUC
RNAcentral lists this ribosomal RNA (529 nucleotides) under uncultured Lysobacter sp. Its description in RNAcentral is "bacterial SSU rRNA". It matches the Rfam family "Bacterial small subunit ribosomal RNA", at positions 382 to 902 of the family's 1533-position model. The record is from RNAcentral. Lineage: Bacteria; Pseudomonadati; Pseudomonadota; Gammaproteobacteria; Lysobacterales; Lysobacteraceae.